GACGCUUCGCUGUUUGCUUGAUUUACAAGUGGCAACAUGAACGUGUGUGUUUAUCUUUGUCUCCAGUAAGAGGUGUGACUGCAGAAUUGCAAAACCUGGAACAGAAAAUGCCUGGAAUUCCAGAAGGGGACCUAGGCCAAGUCAAUGACUUCUGUGGUACAAGAGAACUAAGAAUACUGAAGCGGAAAAUUAAGAAUGUCCUGGAAGACUGGAUGAAAUAUUACCGAGUGGCUUUGGAAAUCAACUCACCAGAUCGGUGCAAAAACUUCACUUUUCUUCCAGGAUGGAGCAGAAGGUGCCCAGUGAAGCUCAGGGGGGCUUCUGUCAGCUUGCAAAUGGCGCAAGGAAGGAACAUCUGUGGGACCCCUGUGCUGGGCAGGCCUCCUCCUUGCCAGUCUUCUCCUUCUUACAGCCAAACACAAGGUG
This 426-nucleotide long non-coding RNA is filed under the name Salvator merianae (Argentine black and white tegu). Its description in RNAcentral is "lncRNA (ENSSMRG00000011199.1)". Lineage: Eukaryota; Metazoa; Chordata; Lepidosauria; Squamata; Teiidae. The record is from RNAcentral.